GAUGAACGCUGGCGGCGUGCUUAACACAUGCAAGUCGAACGAGAAGUGGAGACGGAAACCUUCGGGCGGAAGACUUUACUUCGAGUGGCGGACGGGUGAGUAACGCGUGGGUAACCUGCCUCAUACAGGGGGAUAACAGUUGGAAACGACUGUUAAUCCCGCAUAAGACCACAGCACCGCAUGGUGCGGGGGUAAAAACUCCGGUGGUAUGAGAUGGACCCGCGUUCGAUUAGCCAGUUGGCGGGGUAACGGCCCACCAAAGCGACGAUCGAUAGCCGAUCUGAGAGGAUGACCGGCCACAUUGGGACUGAGACACGGCCCAAACUCCUACGGGAGGCAGCAGUGGGGAAUAUUGCACAAUGGGGGAAACCCUGAUGCAGCGACGCCGCGUGAGUGAAGAAGUAUUUCGGUAUGUAAAGCUCUAUCAGCAGGGAAGAAAAUGACAGUACCUGAGUAAGAAGCCCCGGCUAACUACGUG
RNAcentral lists this ribosomal RNA (478 nucleotides) under uncultured bacterium. RNAcentral describes it as "partial 16S ribosomal RNA". It matches the Rfam family "Bacterial small subunit ribosomal RNA", at positions 28 to 507 of the family's 1533-position model. The record is from RNAcentral.